Non-coding RNA from Pelobates cultripes (western spadefoot toad), 93 nucleotides. Lineage: Eukaryota; Metazoa; Chordata; Amphibia; Anura; Pelobatidae. The record is from the annotation of a GenBank genome assembly.
CCUUACAUAGGUCUUUUUCAAGUGCAUCUAGUUUCACAGUGAAACUUUUUACUUCACUGUGAAACUAGAUGCACUUGAAAAAGACCUAUGUAA